AUUGAACGCUGGCGGCAUGCUUUACACAUGCAAGUCGAACGGUAACAGGCCGCCAGGUGCUGACGAGUGGCGAACGGGUGAGUAAUGCAUCGGAACGUGCCCAGUCGUGGGGGAUAACUACUCGAAAGAGUAGCUAAUACCGCAUACGAUCGAUGGAUGAAAGCGGGGGACCGUAAGGCCUCGCGCGAUUGGAUCGGCCGAUGUCAGAUUAGUUAGUUGGUGGGGUAAAGGCUCACCAAGCCAACGAUCUGUAGCUGGUCUGAGAGGACGACCAGCCACACUGGGACUGAGACACGGCCCAUACUCCUACGGGAGGCAGCAGUGGGGAAUUUUGGACAAUGGGCGCAAGCCUGGUCCAGCAAUGCCGCGUGCAGGAAGAAGGCCUUCGGGUUGUAAACUGCUUUUGUACGGAACGAAACGGCUCUGGUUAAUACCCGGGGCUAAUGACGGUACCGUAAGAAUAAGCACCGGCUAACUACGUG
RNAcentral lists this ribosomal RNA (482 nucleotides) under uncultured bacterium. Its description in RNAcentral is "partial 16S ribosomal RNA". It matches the Rfam family "Bacterial small subunit ribosomal RNA", at positions 30 to 507 of the family's 1533-position model. The record is from RNAcentral.